Molecule: ribosomal RNA, 520 nt
Filed under: uncultured Glomeromycotina
Lineage: Eukaryota; Fungi; Glomeromycota
Description: SSU rRNA
Rfam family: Eukaryotic small subunit ribosomal RNA
Source: RNAcentral
CGCAGCCGCGGUAAUUCCAGCUCCAAUAGCGUAUAUUAAAGUUGUUGCAGUUAAAAAGCUCGUAGUUGAAUUUCGGGGUCAGCAGGUUGGUCGUGCCACUGGUAUGUACUGGCUUAGCUGAUUCCUCCCUUUUUGUAGAACCGUAAUGCCAUUAAUUUGGUGUUGCGGGGAAACAAGACUGUUAACUUUGAAAAAAUUAGAGUGUUUAAAGCAGGCUAACGCCCGAAUACAUUAGCAUGGAAUAAUGAAAUAGGACGUUCGAUCCUAUUUUGUUGGUUUCUAGGAUUGACGUAAUGAUUAAUAGGGACAGUUGGGGGCAUUAGUAUUCAAUUGUCAGAGGUGAAAUUCUUGGAUUUAUUGAAGACUAACUACUGCGAAAGCAUUUGUCAAGGAUGCUUUCAUUAAUCAAGAACGAAAGUUAGGGGAUCGAAGACGAUCAGAUACCGUCGUAGUCUUAACCAUAAACUAUGCCGACUAGGGAUCGGAUGAUGUUAAUUUUUUAAUGUACUCAUUUGGCGUC